This 483-nucleotide ribosomal RNA is filed under the name uncultured bacterium. Its description in RNAcentral is "partial 16S ribosomal RNA". It matches the Rfam family "Bacterial small subunit ribosomal RNA", at positions 29 to 507 of the family's 1533-position model. The record is from RNAcentral.
AUUGAACGCUGGCGGCAGGCCUAACACAUGCAAGUCGAGCGGAUGAAGGGAGCUUGCUCCUGGAUUCAGCGGCGGACGGGUGAGUAAUGCCUAGGAAUCUGCCUGGUAGUGGGGGUUAACGUCCGGAAACGGGCGCUAAUACCGCAUACGUCCUGAGGGAGAAAGUGGGGGAUCUUCGGACCUCACGCUAUCAGAUGAGCCUAGGUCGGAUUAGCUAGUUGGUGGGGUAAAGGCCUACCAAGGCGACGAUCCGUAACUGGUCUGAGAGGAUGAUCAGUCAAACGGGAACUGGGAACGGGCCCAGACCCCAACGGGGGGAAGAGGUGGGGAAAUUGGAAAAAGGGGGGAAGCCCUGACCCGGCCAGCCGGGGGGUGGGAAAAAGUUCUUCGGUUGGUAAAGCAUUUUAAGUUGGGAGAAAGGGAGGAAAGUUAAACCCUGGCUGUUUGGACGUUCCCAAAAAAAAAAACACCGCUAAACUUCUG